Molecule: long non-coding RNA, 5923 nt
Filed under: Sus scrofa (pig)
Lineage: Eukaryota; Metazoa; Chordata; Mammalia; Artiodactyla; Suidae
Description: lncRNA (ENSSSCG00040048801.1)
Source: RNAcentral
GCACCCACAGCAUAUGGAAAUUCCCAGGCUAGGGGUCGAAUGGGAGUUGCAGCUGCUGGCCUACACCAUAGCCACAGCAACGCCAGAUCCGAGCCAAGUCUGCAAGCUUCACCACAGCACAUGGCAAUACCAGAUCCUUAACCACACUGAGCAGGGCCAGGGAUCAACCCUACAUCCUAUGGAUACUGGUUGGGUUUAUUGCUGCUGAGCCACAGUAGGAACUCCCAACUUCAACUUCUAAAUGAGCCUUUAGCCAAGACUGUCCACUGCUCCAACACCUUCAGUGGAUCCCUGCUGCCUAUCGAAGAAAGGCCAAAUGCAAGCUCAGUCUUUCCUGACACACCCCCAGAUCCAGGCGACAUUCAUUUAUUUGGCACACAUGUAUCAAGCACUAGUAUGUGCCAGGCACACUGUUCUUUUGUCCAAACCUGUGCUUUCACUCUUCCCCCUGCUUGGCAUGGCUUCCCUUCUGUCAGCCCCACCUCUACCCAACCAUCUCUGCCCCCCCCCAGGAGCCACCUGAUGCUUGGCCAUAGUGCUUGCUCCUGUCCUGCACUGUUUUCUUGUGGGGUACUGCUCCCCAAGCAGACCAGGUGCUUUAGACAAGUUGCCCCUGAGGAGGGUAAGACAGGCACUGGUGUCUUAGGUCAUGGCACUGGAUACAAUAAUUGCCUGAGAGUCACGAUGCAAAAGCAUAAGCAUCGCAGUAGAGUCUAACAUCCAGUCCUGCUUUGCCCUCACGAGCUCUGUGACCCUGCAGAGGACACUUAACCUCUCUGAACUUUAGCUUCCUCAGCCGUAAACAGUAACAAUAACAGUACCUACUUGGUGAGGUUGUUCCGAGCAUAGGAUGAGGUGACAGGGUUAAUGCCCUGUGUAAACUGUAGACAGUGUUUAUAAAGCAAACAGGAAACGGGAGAUUUGGGGAGGGAAGGAAGGGUUUAGGUGCCUCUGAAGCCUCAAAACCAGCAGGCAGGUCAGGACAAGGACCACAGGCGCCUGGAGAGCCAUGUCAGAACCCCUGGGCCCACUUCUGGGUGGAUGCCAGCUGAAGCAGCCCCAGGCCCCUUAUCUACAAGGAUCCCCCACGCCAGGCCCCUUACCUUGGAGCUUCCUGUCUCACUCAACUCGCCAACAUUCCGCCCGGACAGGGAAACCAAGGCCCAGAGAGACCUGGCAACCCGCCCAAGACUGCAGCCCUGGACCCCCAGUCUGGCUGGUUUCCCCCAGCCCACACUGCCUCCCCUCAGCCUCUGUCUCCAAAUAGCUGGGCUCAUUCUGAGAAGCAGAGCUCUACGUGGCCCCCACCCCAGGCUCCCCACGCUCUCCAUGACCUCCCAGAUCUUGGGCGUCCCACCAAGGUCCCUUCAGUCCCUCACAACGGAUUCUUCCCAGGCCGGCCUCAGCCUGCCGGCCUCUCCAUAGGCCCUCGGGCAGCCAGGCUAUACGUGUGGUGAAUAAAAUGUAUUGUUGUGGGCCAAGCGGGCUUUGGCUCACUGGCUUGUGCAGAGGGGAAAAAGGGACAGGAGCCCAGUGAUUAGCUCAGGCCGAGGCCCUCGUCACAGGCAACACCAGAAGGAUGACUGCAAGGGGCUUGGGAAAGGCAAGGGGUCCUCUGCCGGCUCCCUUCUCUGCACAUGCACCCCUGCACCCGCAUCCUCAGGAUGUUCACCUCCCCUACUCUGUCUACAGCCGUGUGUGGAGGGGCUGGCCCAGUGCUCCCUCCCUGACCUCUGACCCCUCUGCUUUGUCCCCCAACCCUGAGCCUCACCUCUGCGGUCAGGUUUGGGCUGGGAGAGAAGGGUCAGUCUUAGAAGUGAGGGGGCUUCUAGAACAGCCUUCUGGAAAUCCCACCCCUUUCUCUGACACCAUCUCCACCUAACAGCUGAGAACACUGCUCGCCAGGCUUUCCUGCCAUUGUCCAGUAAGACGAAGGCUAGAGGCAAGCCUCUGACUCCUGGCCCAACUCUGCCCAGACACAUGGCACAAGCCCAGUCCAAGUCCCUGAGGGCCAGGCGGCCCAAGGUCCAGAAGGGCCCCUGAGAACAGGGGCAGCUCCAAGCUCUGGAUCCCUGGGGCUCCGGGGGCCAUGACUUCAUCACAGCAACAACACUCCUCCGCACCCCUCAUCGCCACUGCUUGAACUCGGGGUGUCGGAGACCAGCUCUCUGCCUCAGGUUUAAGGCCUGAGGGGAGAUUAACAAUCCCUGGCUGGCUCAUCUCACAGGGGUUGAAGCUGACGGUAGCCACAGCGCAAGCUGAGCCCUGUGAGCCAGGCUCCCGGUGAGGCGCUACUGCAUCCGCUUAGGGAGGCUACAGAGGCUGCGUAAUCCGGCCAAGGCAGUGCGGCCAGGACGUGGCAGGGCCAGGAUUUAAACCCCCACUUUCUGGAUCCAGAGGACAUUUGCUUACGCGCUGUGCUAUGUGGUCAUCACCCAUCCAAGGGCUCUGAGGCUGGAUCCUGGACCUAAAAAGGGUAGAAAGGAAGGCAGAGGGGACCGCCAGCAGAAGGGCAAGAGAGGGCUGAGAUGACGCCCGACAUGCCAACAAAGAGACAUCAUAGGGAAGCAGGCGGCCGUGGCCGGCGGGCACCGGCUCCCACACAUGCAUGCUGGGGACACAGCUUCACACACAUGCACGCACGUGCACACCAGGCUGUACCUGUCACGUCCUUCUUGGGAGACUCAGCCCAGCUGGAGAGCCACACUUCCGAGUCCCCCCGAGAGCACGCAGCAGCGGGAGAGAGGAAAAUCAGAGGAGGAGAGAAAACCGUUAGGCAGGCAGGAGGUCCACCGGCGAGUGGCUGCAGGCGCCGCGUUGGGCCGGCAGCGGCGGAAGGCGGGGGAGGGGAGGGAGUGAUUUCCUGGCCCUGGGAAGGCUGCUGGGCGUGGGCCUGAGUGAUUACAGAGGCCCUGGGACACUGCCGGCCAGGACGGGGAUAAUGAGGUGUCUGCAAAACGCAGGAAUCCUCUGGAGCACAGAGAAUCCUACACAGUCCCCGCCUGGAACAGGGCCCGUGGGUUAUCGCUGCCCUGGAGAAGGCAGCCUGGACCUCUCUCUCCAGCCAUGUGGGUGGCUGGCUCCAAUGAUUCUCACCAGGCCAGCAGGCUCAGCAGCUGGGCCUGGAACUUAAACCUCAGGGUCAGAGAGCCCAAGGCCAGGCCCAGUCUCCAGGCGCGGGGCCUCAAGAUCUUGUCCAGCCCUUCCCCCGCCCCUCACCAUUGCAGCAGACAGACAGGCCCUGGCAGAAUGGAGGGAAGCCUCAUUUUAGAGAGUCUCAGAGCCCAACUCCAGCCUGGAAGGAUGGGGACCUUUAGUGACCAGAAGAGAGGAGAUUCUCUUCCAGGCUCCGUCUGUCAUGUGUGAUCUGGGCCUCAGGGUCCUCAUCUGUGGAAGGAGGUUAGAAGCUGUCCUCUGGCGAGGGGGAGGAACAAAGUCAAAACACCUAAAACAACUUAGGAUUGUGACAUGUGACAUGGUAACACUGUAAUGAGGCAAAAACACUCUUAGCCCCGUUAAUGGUAUAAACAUUGCUAGACUAUCAGGGGGUGAACACCUAACACUGGCUGUCUACCUAUAGUGUAUAGUGGCUCAUUUAUAUCCGAUGACCCCUUGAGAUGGGUCAUUUUUCACCCCAUUUUAUAGCAGUGGCCUCAGGGCCAGAGUAGCAGAUGCAGAAAUGGAAGCGGGUCUGGGACAGCCCAGCUGGUGCUUCUGCUGAACUGCUCUUUGCCUCCAAAAGAGAACAGUGUUGGUUACCACGGCUACAAUGAGAAGGAAAUGUGGAGAUGCACGUCUGAGAGAUAAACCCUUGGACUGCCCACCCAGUGCUGGCCAGGAGAGAUAGUAACGAUAAUCCUAACAGCAGCAAUGUUUCUACAGCAUUUACUGUACCCUGAGCAUCGCAUUUAGUAACGCAUCUGUUUUGCACAAUUAAACCUAUAAUGAUAAGGUAUCCCCUGUAUUUUGCAGAUGAAGAAAAUGAACCAGAGAGGUUAAGUAACUUGGCCCAAGGUCACACAGCCAGUAUGCCAUCCAUCUCUUGUGGGGAUAUGGGCUACAGGCUUCAGGUAUUGAUUUGAUGCCGCUCACCAUUUAAAGCACCUAACUCUCCCUUGCUCAGCAAGGCACCUUCUGACUGCAGGCUGAAGUCCCAUGUCAAACUGGGAAGACUGGCUCUGCCAGCGCUCACUGUAAACCAACAAAGCGGAGCUCUGGUGGAGAGGUUUGGCAAAGCUUCUGGAGUCUGGAUUCAAACCCAGGGUCUCCUCCUUUGAUAAAGUUAUUUAACGUCUCUAAACCUGUUCCCUGGACAUAUAUCAUGCGUUUGGUUCAAUCAGCUCUGGUGCAGCAGGAAAAUCAGACUCCUGAAGCUGCAAGGACAAGAACCAGAUGGCAAUUUGAUAAUACAAGCACCAAGAAAAUGCUGGCACCCAGGGAUGCUUGCCACAGACAAUGGGUCAGCUGGAACUGGGGGUAGAGGGACUCUGGGCAACUACACCCACAGGCAAGCAACCUAUAGCCAGAGCCUCUCCCAGGCCUAGCAGUCAGAAGCCCCUGGGGACAGCAGGAGCAAUGCUGGCCCAGAUUUCUCACCCUGGGAGGGAGGGCCAAGACAAGCCAGACAUACUCUGAGGCUUUCAAUUGCUGUGGCCAAGUGGGUCUGAGUUCAAAAUGUGGGGCUUGGAGUUCUCGCUGUGGCACAAUGGGAUAGAUGGUGUCUCUGUAUCAGCAGGGAUGAGGAAUUCCGUCCCCAACCUGGUACAGUGGGUUAAAGAUCCAGUGUUGCUGCAGCUGUAGGCCACAACUCCAGUCCAGAUUCAAUCCCUGGCCUUGGAACUCCAUGUGCUAUGGGGUGCCCCCCUCCGCUGUAUGUCUGUGUGUACAUACGCACACACACACACAUAUAUAUGUACACACAUACAUACAGAGAGAGAAUUUUUUUAAAUGUGGGGCUUCGUUGUCUGGUGCCAGAUCUUGCUGGGGCUGCAACUUUGCAACUUCUUCCUGCCGUGCCGCGGACAUGGCCAAGUGGGCUGCCACCCAGCAAGGCCAUCUUAACGCUCCUGGGCAGGCCUAGUGCCAGGCCCAUUCCAGCACUAUCUGGCCCCACCCAGCCCUGGGCUGAGCCAGCUAAGAGGCUACCCACACCUCUCUCCAUCUCUGCUGGCUUCCUUCCUUUGUACGCUUUCCUUCGGGUUCUUGGGAAGGACAUGUUUUGGGAGGGCCAGAGAGUCAGUAUUUAGCCUUUGUGGGCCGCAUGGUCUCUGCUGAGACUAUUCACCUCUGCUGUUACAACCCAUAGAGGAAUGAGCAAGCUGUGUGCCAAUAAAACUUUAUUUACAAAACCACAUGGCGGGCUGGGACUUGGCCUCUAGGCAAUGGCUGCCAACCCCUAGGCCAGGAGAUGAGGUUGUCAGAGAAGGGGAGCUACUCCAAACCCCCAGGAGAGAGAAGAGGGGGCCGCUGGCCCACUUGGACUAAAUGCUCACAAGGUCUUUGCUGAUUGGUUGAUUUUUUUUUUUUUUUUUUUUUAAACAAUCAGCUUGAAGUGUCUGAUGUCCUUCCAGGCCUUUAAGGUAUGGGCAUCUGGGCAGGCUAGGGAUGGUGGACAGGAAAAGAUCCCCCAGCCUUUGGAAACUGAGCCCCACUCCUAAGCAUGGAACAACCCAAGCUUGUGCCCACCUCUUCCCCCCAAUAAGCAGGCCUUCCCUCUUUCCAAAGGAAAAUGGGAAGUGGACCAGAAAUAAGCCUGUCUUUUAAAAAGAAAAGUCUUUUAAAAACGUGAUUUAUUUCCCAGUCCCCCGGAUCCACAGAAUUAAACCAGUUCCACGGCUCCCACCCCAAAUUCCCCCCUCCCCCCCCUUGGAGUACCUUCUCUCCAGCCUACCUGAGCAAGCCCUCGCCCAGGGCGGGAAGGACC